Molecule: ribosomal RNA, 468 nt
Filed under: uncultured bacterium
Lineage: Bacteria
Description: partial 16S ribosomal RNA
Rfam family: Bacterial small subunit ribosomal RNA
Source: RNAcentral
GACUAACGCUGGCGGCGUGCUUAACACAUGCAAGUCGAACGGAAAGGCCCUGCUUUUGUGGGGUGCUCGAGUGGCGAACGGGUGAGUAACACGUGAGUAACCUGCCCUUGACUUUGGGAUAACUUCAGGAAACUGGGGCUAAUACCGGAUAGGAGCUCCUGCUGCAUGGUGGGGGUUGGAAAGUUUCGGCGGUUGGGGAUGGACUCGCGGCUUAUCAGCUUGUUGGUGGGGUAGUGGCUUACCAAGGCUUUGACGGGUAGCCGGCCUGAGAGGGUAACCGGCCACAUUGGGACUGAGAUACGGCGCAGACGCCUACGGGAGGCAGCAGUGGGGAAUAUUGCACAAUGGGCGGAAGCCUGAUGCAGCAACGCCGCGUGCGGGAUGACGGCCUUCGGGUUGUAAACCGCUUUCGCCUGUGACGAAGCGUGAGUGACGGUAAUGGGUAAAGAAGCACCGGCUAACUACGUG